GCGUCGAAGGCGUACCGUGAGGUAUUCUGGAGCGUCUGGAAAAGCAAAUGUAGGUAUAAGUAACGAUAAAGGGGGCGGGAAACCCCCUCGCCGAAAGACUAAGGUUUCCUGAUCAACGCUAAUCGGAUCAGGGUCAGUCGGGUCCUAAGGCUCAGCCGAACGGCGAUGCCGAUGGCAGAAACGGUUAAUAUUCCGUUACUACCUUCAGGAGUGACGUGGAGACGCAGUAGUGACAGUGCCGCCAUCUGACGGAAUAGAUGGUUGAAGGGUGUAGGAGUCGAUCAUGGCAGGCAAAUCCACCAUGAGAUCCGAACCUGACAGUAUGCCGCGUCCUUCGGGACAAGGCAAUAGUGCGCGUAAGCAUGCUGCCGAGAAAAUCCGCUAAACUUAAUCCUGCAGGUACCCGUACCGCAAACGGACACACGUAGUCGGGAUGAAUAUUCUAAGGCGCUUGAGUGAUUCACGGUUAAGGAACUAGGCAAACUGACCCUGUAACUUCGGGAUAAAGGGUCCCUACCCUUUUAUGGGAGGGCGCAGAGAAUCGGUCCAGGCAACUGUUUAACAAAAACACAGGGCUGUGCCAAAUCGAAAGAUCCAGUAUACAGCCUGACACCUGCCCGGUGCUGGAAGGUUAAGAGGAGAUGUCAUCGAUAAGAGAAGCGUUGAAUUGAAGCCCCAGUAAACGGCGGCCGUAACUAUAACGGUCCUAAGGUAGCGAAAUUCCUUGUCGGGUAAGUUCCGACCUGCACGAAUGGUGUAAUGAUCUGGACGCUGUCUCAACCGUGAGCUCAGUGAAAUUGUAGUAUCGGUGAAGAUGCCGAUUACCCGCGAUGGGACGAAAAGACCCCGUGAACCUUUACUAUAGCUUAUCAUUGAAUCUGGGCACGUGAUGUGUAGGAUAGGUCGGAGGCUUUGAAGCAGGUACGCCAGUAUUUGUGGAGCCGCUGUUGAAAUACGACCCUUUAUUUGUUUGGAUUCUAACCCGUGGAACGGGGACAUUGAUUGGUGGGUAGUUUGACUGGGGUGGUCGCCUCCAAAAGCGUAACGGAGGCUUCUAAAGGUGCCCUCCGGCCGAUUGGUAACCGGCCUUAGAGUGUAAUGGCAUAAGGGCGCUUGACUGGGAGACUGACAAGUCGAUCAGGUAGGAAACUAGAGCAUAGUGAUCCGGUGUUUCCGUAUGGAAGGGACAUCGCUCAAAGGAUAAAAGGUACUCCGGGGAUAACAGGCUGAUCCCUCCCAAGAGCUCAUAUCGAC
Molecule: ribosomal RNA, 1254 nt
Filed under: human gut metagenome
Description: bacterial LSU rRNA
Rfam family: Bacterial large subunit ribosomal RNA
Source: RNAcentral